Molecule: ribosomal RNA, 478 nt
Filed under: uncultured bacterium
Lineage: Bacteria
Description: partial 16S ribosomal RNA
Rfam family: Bacterial small subunit ribosomal RNA
Source: RNAcentral
GACGAGCGCUGGCGGCGUGCUUAACACAUGCAAGUCGAACGGAAAGGCACUUCGGGGUACUCGAGUGGCGAACGGGUGAGUAACACGUGGGUGAUCUGCCCUGCACUUUGGGAUAAGCCUGGGAAACUGGGUCUAAUACCGAAUAGGACAACGGCAUUCAUGUGCUGUGGUGGAAAGCUUUUGCGGUGUGGGAUGGGGCCGCGGCCUAUCAGCUUGUUGGUGGGGUAAUGGCCUACCAAGGCGACGACGGGUAGCCGGCCUGAGAGGGUGACCGGCCACACUGGGACUGAGAUACGGCCCAGGCUCCUACGGGAGGCAGCAGUGGGGAAUAUUGCACAAUGGGCGCAAGCCUGAUGCAGCGACGCCGCGUGAGGGAUGACGGCCUUCGGGUUGUAAACCUCUUUCGCCAGGGACGAAGCGCAAGUGACGGUACCUGGAGAAGAAGGACCGGCCAACUACGUGCCAGCCGCCGCCGUAA